AUUUAAUUAGUAUAAAAAGUACACUUAAUUUCCAAUUAAGUAGUUUCAAUGAAAUUAAAUA
This 61-nucleotide transfer RNA is filed under the name Rhipicephalus zambeziensis. Its description in RNAcentral is "tRNA-Gly". The record is from RNAcentral. Lineage: Eukaryota; Metazoa; Arthropoda; Arachnida; Ixodida; Ixodidae.